RNAcentral lists this ribosomal RNA (758 nucleotides) under Chrysophyllum prieurii. Its description in RNAcentral is "eukaryotic LSU rRNA". The stretch from base 654 to 758 matches the Rfam family "Eukaryotic large subunit ribosomal RNA", at positions 1 to 105 of the family's 3401-position model. The record is from RNAcentral. Lineage: Eukaryota; Viridiplantae; Streptophyta; Magnoliopsida; Ericales; Sapotaceae.
AGAAGUCGUAACAAGGUUUUCGUAGGUGAACCUACUGAAGGAUCAUUGCCGAAGCCUGCCAAGCAGAACGACCCGUGAACUAGUAUAGCAAACCACGGGGGGUGCUUGUGGCGGGCUUGACUGCCCCCGCUCUCUGCCCCCUCGCCGGGUGUGCUAUUGAACUGCGCUACUCGGCAAAAAAUAAAUCCCUGACGCGAAUCCCGUCAAGGAACUCAAACAAGAGAAGAGAAAUGCGCCCCCCAGUUCUCGUUCGCGAGCGAAACUUUGGGGGGCACCGGUUGCACCUUUCAGGAACAUAACAACUCUCGGCGACGGAUAUCUCGGCUCUCGUAUCGAUAAAGAAUGUAGCGAAAUGUGAGUCUUUGAACGCAAGUUACGCCCAAAGCCAUUAGGCCGAGGGCACAUCUGCCUGGGCAUCUCACAUCGCGCCACCCCCUGCCCUGCGUCCGUAAAGGGUUCUUGGGUUGAUGGGGGGUGAAUUUUGGCCCCCCGUGUGCCCUAGUGCGCGAUCGGCCUAAAGAUGAGUCCCUGGCGACGAACGUCACGAUGAGUGGUGGAUGUGAUAACGUUGCGUCAUGUCGUGCACGUCUCGUCCCAACGGGUUAUUUUUACUCUUGACCACGAAGCACCGUGUUCCAACGGAGCCUCAAACGCGACCCCAGGUCAGGCGGGAUUACUCGCUGAGUUUAAGCAUAUCAAUAAGCAGAGGAAAAGAAACUUACAAGGAUUCUCUUUGUAAUGGCAAGCGAACCGGGAAU